RNAcentral lists this ribosomal RNA (22 nucleotides) under Botryococcus braunii. RNAcentral's name for it is "partial 28S ribosomal RNA". Lineage: Eukaryota; Viridiplantae; Chlorophyta; Trebouxiophyceae. RNAcentral also lists the same sequence under 1 other name. The record is from RNAcentral.
AUUCGACCUGAGCUCAGGCAAG